This 253-nucleotide ribosomal RNA is filed under the name uncultured bacterium. Its description in RNAcentral is "partial 16S ribosomal RNA". It matches the Rfam family "Bacterial small subunit ribosomal RNA", at positions 524 to 776 of the family's 1533-position model. The record is from RNAcentral.
GACGUAGGGUCCAAGCGUUGUCCGGAUUUAUUGGGCGUAAAGAGCGUGUAGGCGGCCGUACAGGUCAGCUGUGAAAACUCGAGGCUCAACCUCGAGACGUCGGUUGAAACCGUACGGCUAGAGUCCGGAAGAGGAGAGUGGAAUUCCCGGUGUAGCGGUGAAAUGCGCAGAUAUCGGGAAGAACACCCGUGGCGAAGGCGGCUCUCUGGGACGGUACUGACGCUGAGACGCGAAAGCGUGGGGAGCGAACAGG